GACGAACGCUGGCGGCAUGCCUAACACAUGCAAGUCGAACGGAGAAAAGGAAGCUUGCUUCUUUUUCUUAGUGGCGGACGGGUGAGUAACGCGUGAGUAACCUGCCUUUCAGAGGGGGAUAACGUUCUGAAAAGAUCGCUAAUACCGCAUGAGACUACGGAGCUGCAUGGCUCAGUGGUCAAAGGAGCAAUCCGCUGAAAGAUGGACUCGCGUCCGAUUAGAUAGUUGGCGGGGUAAUGGCCCACCAAGUCGACGAUCGGUAGCCGGACUGAGAGGUUGAACGGCCACAUUGGGACUGAGACACGGCCCAGACUCCUACGGGAGGCAGCAGUGAGGGAUAUUCGGCAAUGGGGGGAAACCCUGACCGAGCAAUGCCGCGUGAGGGAUGACGGUUUUCGGAUUGUAAACCUCUGUCCUCUGUGAAGAUAAUGACGGUAGCAGAGGAGGAAGCUCCGGCUAACUACGUG
Molecule: ribosomal RNA, 467 nt
Filed under: uncultured bacterium
Lineage: Bacteria
Description: bacterial SSU rRNA
Rfam family: Bacterial small subunit ribosomal RNA
Source: RNAcentral